This 477-nucleotide ribosomal RNA is filed under the name Acinetobacter baumannii OIFC137. RNAcentral's name for it is "bacterial SSU rRNA". It matches the Rfam family "Bacterial small subunit ribosomal RNA", at positions 31 to 502 of the family's 1533-position model. The record is from RNAcentral. Lineage: Bacteria; Pseudomonadati; Pseudomonadota; Gammaproteobacteria; Moraxellales; Moraxellaceae.
GAACGCUGGCGGCAGGCUUAACACAUGCAAGUCGAGCGGGGGAAGGUAGCUUGCUACCGGACCUAGCGGCGGACGGGUGAGUAAUGCUUAGGAAUCUGCCUAUUAGUGGGGGACAACAUCUCGAAAGGGAUGCUAAUACCGCAUACGUCCUACGGGAGAAAGCAGGGGAUCUUCGGACCUUGCGCUAAUAGAUGAGCCUAAGUCGGAUUAGCUAGUUGGUGGGGUAAAGGCCUACCAAGGCGACGAUCUGUAGCGGGUCUGAGAGGAUGAUCCGCCACACUGGGACUGAGACACGGCCCAGACUCCUACGGGAGGCAGCAGUGGGGAAUAUUGGACAAUGGGGGGAACCCUGAUCCAGCCAUGCCGCGUGUGUGAAGAAGGCCUUAUGGUUGUAAAGCACUUUAAGCGAGGAGGAGGCUACUUUAGUUAAUACCUAGAGAUAGUGGACGUUACUCGCAGAAUAAGCACCGGCUAACU